This 444-nucleotide ribosomal RNA is filed under the name uncultured bacterium. RNAcentral's name for it is "partial 16S ribosomal RNA". It matches the Rfam family "Bacterial small subunit ribosomal RNA", at positions 331 to 792 of the family's 1533-position model. The record is from RNAcentral.
CCAGACUCCUACGGGAGGCAGCAGUGGGGAAUAUUGCACAAUGGGGGAAACCCUGAUGCAGCGACGCCGCGUGAGUGAAGAAGUAUUUCGGUAUGUAAAGCUCUAUCAGCAGGGAAGAAAAUGACGGUACCUGACUAAGAAGCCCCGGCUAACUACGUGCCAGCAGCCGCGGUAAUACGUAGGGGGCAAGCGUUAUCCGGAUUUACUGGGUGUAAAGGGAGCGUAGACGGCAUGGCAAGUCAGAUGUGAAAGCCCGGGGCUCAACCCCGGGACUGCAUUUGAAACUGUCAGGCUGGAGUGCAGGAGGGGUAAGUGGAAUUCCUAGUGUAGCGGUGAAAUGCGUAGAUAUUAGGAGGAACACCAGUGGCGAAGGCGGUCUGCUGGACAGCAACUGACGCUGAGGCGCGAAAGCGUGGGGAGCAAACAGGAUUAGAUACCCGUGUA